GUAGGGAAUCUUGCGCAAUGGGCGAAAGCCUGACGCAGCCAUGCCGCGUGAAUGAUGAAGGUCUUAGGAUUGUAAAAUUCUUUCACCGGGGACGAUAAUGACGGUACCCGGAGAAGAAGCCCCGGCUAACUUCGUGCCAGCAGCCGCGGUAAUACGAAGGGGGCUAGCGUUGCUCGGAAUUACUGGGCGUAAAGGGCGCGUAGGCGGACAGUUUAGUCAGAGGUGAAAGCCCAGGGCUCAACCUUGGAAUUGCCUUUGAUACUGGCUGUCUUGAGUACGGGAGAGGUGAGUGGAACUCCGAGUGUAGAGGUGAAAUUCGUAGAUAUUCGGAAGAACACCAGUGGCGAAGGCGACUCACUGGCCCGUUACUGACGCUGAGGCGCGAAAGCGUGGGGAGCAAACAGGAUUAGAUACCCGAGUAGUCC
RNAcentral lists this ribosomal RNA (425 nucleotides) under uncultured bacterium. Its description in RNAcentral is "partial 16S ribosomal RNA". It matches the Rfam family "Bacterial small subunit ribosomal RNA", at positions 354 to 796 of the family's 1533-position model. The record is from RNAcentral.